AUUGAACGCUGGCGGCAGGCCUAACACAUGCAAGUCGAACGGUAACAGGAAGCAGCUUGCUGCUUCGCUGACGAGUGGCGGACGGGUGAGUAAUGUCUGGGAAGCUGCCUGAUGGAGUGGGAUAACUACUGGAAACGGUAGCUAAUACCGCAUAAUGUCGCAAGACCAAAGAGGGGGACCUUCGGGCCUCUUGCCAUCGGAUGUGCCCAGAUGGGAUUAGCUUGUUGGUGGGGUAACGGCUCACCAAGGCGACGAUCCCUAGCUGGUCUGAGAGGAUGACCAGCCACACUGGAACUGAGACACGGUCCAGACUCCUACGGGAGGCAGCAGUGGGGAAUAUUGCACAAUGGGCGCAAGCCUGAUGCAGCCAUGCCGCGUGUGUGAAGAAGGCCUUCGGGUUGUAAAGUACUUUCAGCGGGGAGGAAGGGAGUAAAGUUAAUACCUUUGCUCAUUGACGUUACCCGCAGAAGAAGCACCGGCUAACUCCGUG
This 490-nucleotide ribosomal RNA is filed under the name uncultured bacterium. RNAcentral's name for it is "partial 16S ribosomal RNA". It matches the Rfam family "Bacterial small subunit ribosomal RNA", at positions 30 to 507 of the family's 1533-position model. The record is from RNAcentral.